UACGGAGGCUGCAAGCGUUAUUUGGAGUCGUUGGGUUUAAAGGGUCCGUAGGCGGGUUUAUAAGUCAGUGGUGAAAGUCUGCAGCUUAACUGUAGAACUGCCAUUGAUACUGUAGACCUUGAAUUAUUAUGAAGUGGUUAGAAUAUGUAGUGUAGCGGUGAAAUGCAUAGAUAUUACAUAGAAUACCGAUUGCGAAGGCAGAUCACUAAUAAUAUAUUGACGCUGAAGGACGAAAGCGUAGGUAGCGAACAGG
This 253-nucleotide unclassified non-coding RNA is filed under the name uncultured Flavobacteriaceae bacterium. RNAcentral's name for it is "contains 16S-23S intergenic spacer region". It matches the Rfam family "Bacterial small subunit ribosomal RNA", at positions 524 to 776 of the family's 1533-position model. Lineage: Bacteria; Pseudomonadati; Bacteroidota; Flavobacteriia; Flavobacteriales; Flavobacteriaceae. The record is from RNAcentral.